This is a long non-coding RNA of Xenia sp. Carnegie-2017, 948 nucleotides long. RefSeq lists it as uncharacterized. The transcript is spliced from 5 exons. Lineage: Eukaryota; Metazoa; Cnidaria; Anthozoa; Malacalcyonacea; Xeniidae. The record is from RefSeq and is a predicted model, not a curated record.
GUCCAAUUUAACACACGUCUUCGCUUUCAUUCCUUGUUAAACUGUUUGACAUAGCAAUCUUAGUGAAUAGAAUGGCAAUCUAUUCAUAUGACACUUAACUUCCAGUACGCUAAAUAUCAAAACCAGAAAGUUUCAACCGUCGACCAGUAAAAGACCAAUCAAACAAAGUUACCAAUCAAAACAACAACAAUUUGCUUACCAAAGACAAAUCACUGUCGUUUCAAAGAAGGUCCGUAAAAAACAUGCUUUAUUGCUACAAACCCUUUAUCUGACAUCAUUGAGAAAUGGCAAACUUGUGAUUCAAAUAUGGACAACUUUGUGUAAAGCUUAAGCAUUUUGAAAACGGAAAGGCUUUUCUAAAAGCUCAGAAACGAUUUAUGACGUAGCUCUUUGACAUGCAGAUAGAAUCAAGAGAAAAAAGAAACCUAUUUUACAUUAGGCAAAUAAUUAAUGUUGUUCAAAAGGAACUUGCUUCGUUUUUCAUCAAACAAUGGAACUGUCUUUACAAAUCGUCUCUUGGAGAAUGGGAUGAUACACACAAAAGUGGCAAAAAAUUUUACACUUUUGAAUCAGGAAGAAAAUUAGACCAAAAAACACGAAAAAAAUAUCAGGAUGGAGACACCAGUAAGUGGGACUGUACGACAUUAUUUGAUGCUAUACUUUUUUCAAAAUCAAUUAAAAAGCAUCUUGAUAAAAACACUAAGGAUGCUGUUCAUGCACUUCGUGGUGAAAGAAACAAGUACGCACAUUGGUAUGAAGGGGAAUGCUCAGAUGAUGAUUUUGAUAAAAUAGUCAAUAUCAUUGAAAAAUCAUUUCAAGAUUUGAAAUUUUCCCUGGAUGAAAUCAAUAAAAUAAAAAAUUAUCGAAACUGUUUUUAUUCGUUCCAAGUUCUUCCUUCAAAACCUAAUCAUUUUUUCGUUGAACGCACUGAAUUACGAGAUAAAAUCA